This 253-nucleotide ribosomal RNA is filed under the name uncultured bacterium. Its description in RNAcentral is "partial 16S ribosomal RNA". It matches the Rfam family "Bacterial small subunit ribosomal RNA", at positions 524 to 776 of the family's 1533-position model. The record is from RNAcentral.
UACAGAGGGGGCAAGCGUUGUUCGGAAUUACUGGGCGUAAAGGGCGCGUAGGCGGCCAACUAAGUCAGACGUGAAAUCCCUCAGCUUAACUGGGGAACUGCGUCUGAUACUGGAUGGCUUGGAUUCGGGAGAGGGAAGCGGAAUUCCGGGUGUAGCGGUGAAAUGCGUAGAUAUCCGGAGGAACACCGGUGGCGAAGGCGGCAUCCUGGACCAAUACUGACACUGAGGAGCGAAAGCCAGGGGAGCAAACGGG